ACGGCGAGUGAGCGGGAAAGCCCAAAUUUUAAAUCGACAAAUGUCGAAUUGUAAUUUGAAGAUGUACUCUCCGCGUUUCGAAAUGGGAAAAGUCUCUUGGAACAGGGCAUCAUAGAGGGUGACAAUCCCGUGGCUAACCAUUUCGCAAACGCCUUGUGUGAGGCAUUCAAAGAGUCGAGUUGUUUGGGAUUGCAGCUCAAAACGGGUGGUAAAUUCCAUCUAAGGCUAAAUAACGGCAAGAGACCGAUAGCGAACAAGUACCGUGAGGGAAAGAUGAAAAGAACUUUGAAAAGAGAGUUAAAUAGUACGUGAAAUUGUUGAAAGGGAAACGAUUGAGGCCAGUCGUGCUGGCAGAAAAUCAGUCAAGCAAAGUUGUUUCUCUGCGAAGCGAUAAUGAUUGAUGCACUUUUCUGUUUGGCAGGUUAGCAUCAGCUUUGUUUGUUGUAAAAUGGUGGUCGGAAAGUGACUCUUUUUGAGUGUUAUAGCCGGUUACAGAUGCAACAGAUGGGGCUGAGGAUUGCGGCAAAUGCCUUUGGGCUACGAACCUUCUUUCUGAAUUGUCUGGCAUGGAUCGACAGCAUGCUGACGGUUUAUGAACCGGAUAUUCAAUAAAGUAGAGUUUGGUAAAUUUGGCAAGGAUGCUGACGUAAUGGCCUUAAACGACCCGUCUUGA
Molecule: ribosomal RNA, 673 nt
Filed under: Glomeromycotina sp. OTU18 DJMC-2012
Lineage: Eukaryota; Fungi; Glomeromycota
Description: eukaryotic LSU rRNA
Rfam family: Eukaryotic large subunit ribosomal RNA
Source: RNAcentral